UGGGCAUCCGCAGCCUCAUGCCGUGGACUGUACUGCAGGUGUUCAUGGGGACUUACAGACACCGUCCACAAGGGGCAGUGUUGAAUCACAAAUUCCUUCCAGCUCCAGCCAGGUUGACACAGCAGUCGGUGCAUGAAAAAGGGAAAAAAAAGAAAGACGAGCUUCAUGGGAAUAACACAGUCGCACAGAACGGGGUCGAGGUGCAUUCUGUUCGAGUGGAGACAGGUGCAUGACGAUCGAUUCUUUACUUUGCCGAAGAACGGAAAAACCUCUUCAGAGGAACAUAAUGAGGAGAGGUGACGCUUAACGGCGGCGCGCCAUAAUUGAUAAGAAAUUUGAAAUGCGUACGCCUUUGAUUCAACACAUUGUCUUUCUUUCUUUCCCGCUGUGAAAAUGUCAUAAUCAAAGCUCGGAGGCCCACGCGUCACUCAUCAGCGCUGCGUUUGAAUGUAUUUUCCUUUCACUUCCUCGCAGUGUUGACACGGACUCUGCAGUCAGUAAUACAACUUGUCCUCCUUUGAAGAUGCUCGUGCAAACCGUCCUCACUGCUCUGAAAGACGACGGCGCGGUUCAAAAAAUACUCCUUUGAUCUGCCAGUGCAACUCUUAAAGACAAUGCGGCGGCUUUCUGAAGACGAAGAACGUACCACAGAGCACGUGGUCGACACUUUGGCCCCUUUAAAAAGCCAAAAGAGACAUUUUUCUGCUACUUGAAUCAUAAUAGAGGCUUGUGCCCGCGCUGUGUUCACAGUCUGACCUGUAUGCAAAUGCGGCGUCCUUGGGGAGGUUAUGGUGUGUACUUGAGGUGUCGUCACAAAUGCGGCUCUGAAAUAUUGAAAAAUGAACUUGGGUUUUUUCACAGCUUUCUACACACUGGUGUGUGUCAGCGUGUCAGCGGGAGUCUCUUUGAAGGUGAAGCCUUUUGAGUGGGAAACACUCUCCCUGUAUGGAAAAAGAAUGGCUGCAAUAAGUUUGCAGUUUGAUUCUCGAAGUGUUCAGUAAAAAAAAUUCAGUUUGUCCAAUUUUAUUUUACUUACGCUAAGACUGUACUUAUUUCCAAGGCAGAAACUGUAUUUUUGUUUUACGCCAUUUAGUCGUAGUUACACUUCAUUUGUUCAUGUUCCAAAUCAUUUCUACCUUGACCAGAACAUUGAAAUGCAAAUUUAUGCAUCAGCCAUUGAGACAAUAAGAAUAUAUGGAAGAAAUAAAACCCCUACAAGUUAAACAUUCUAAUACAUUCUAUGACUUGGUAAAUGGUUUGGUGGGCCGCCUCCUGUUAUUCCUGAGACCCGCGGCGAAUGUUAGCAUUUCUUCAUGUGUCCUCUCUUUCCUCUUAUUGAUUUUUUUUCUCUUUUGGACAUCCAGAUUCAUGCAAAUAUAUGCAGGCUGCAUUUGAAAGUUGUUCUUACCACGAACACUUCUGUACUUUCACUCAUAGACUUACUUAAAUAACUUGUUAUCUGAGGUUUUGUCACAGUGACUUCCACCCAAAGGAAGAGUUCAGACGUUUUGAGAAAAGGUACACUCAUUUGUUGUGAGGCGUUAGUGCUAAGCUAGGAUAAUUGGCUGCAGGCUGUAGAUUCAUAAUUAGUUUACAGACUCCUUUUUUUUUAAAAAUUUGGGCAGAAACACUCUGUCAGAGCUCUUACAAAAUGAUUACAUUCGGCACAGAUUUAGCAAGGAUCGAGCAGUUCUGACCAGCCAAAGGAGAGGAAACCAUGAAGUGCACAAAGAGACACGGUUCAACACCUCCAGCCCGCACCAGAGGAAAGACUAUGGAUGAUUUUGAUUUCCUUUGACCAUAUGUUUGAAGAGGGUAUAGCUUUGAAAACAACAGAGAGCAUCAAGGUGAGGGGAUUCUUGUCAUAUCAGUUAGGAUGAGUUUAUGCUGCACAUGGACAUGUACGGUAUAAAGACCUUCCAUCUUGCACUUGAGAAGAAAACAGACGCCCUUCCUAGGAAGCCGUUGAUGUUUAUUAGGUCAUGUUGUCAUGCUGCAGUGUUAUGACAGUGCCGGAUGAACUUUUGUCCACCAAUUCCCCGGUUGGUUUUUAAGCUUGCCCACAGACUGUGCCCUCUUUUUAUGGGCUCGUAGAUUGCUAGGAAACACAUCAAUCUCCUGUGUGCGCGAUCCAGUACGUCUUCCCCCACCGUGCGGCGUGACCCCAUUGGCCUCCCUCUAGUGUCCACUGGGUUGCUCAUGUCUAUGUUCCCGCAGCUCCGCUGCCCUGGUUAUUAAAGAGCACCGGGCGAUAUCCACCCUCACCUUUCUUUCUCCGUCCACACGCCCUCGCUCACUUCAUCCCCGCCUCCCCCGACCCGUCCCUCAAUUUCUCUUUUUCACCGCACUUGCGCCUGAAAUAGCACUGAAGGUUGCCGCUCUGCUGUUCCUGUUCCGCUGCACACCCACAUCCCCGCGUUCACCGGCUACACACCGACCCUACCUGCGAAGCCUUGGAGGAUGGCAGGCCGGCCCACAAGUGGAGAGGUUGACUAAUUAAUGAGUGUGAGGGAUUUUUUCGUGUUCAUUCCGGGCAGAAGGAUUGUGCUUCAGGCCCCGAACUCCAACACGGCGGAUCGUCUGGUGUUUACUCACUUCCUCAGAAAACAGAUGUCCAAGCGACCUACCUCCAUUAAGCAGGGCUCCUCAGGAGUAUAACUCAGUGCUGCUCCAGAACCCUGCCCAGCCUCCAGACAUCAGGCCCAGCCCUCACCAUUCCUUCUGGCCAGACUCUGGACCUGCGAAGCGGACUCGGAGACUGUGACGGCAGGGCAACAGGCCAAGGCCGGCUCUAUCUUCAUAUUACUCCCGCUGGAGGUGGGAGAGUGCGAGCUGGACACUGCCCAUCCCUCUGCUGGAAGCCGAGACAUCCCGGAAACAGGAGCUGCCAUCUUGCCCCUGGAGCCAGAGUCGUGCUAUCGAGGAUCUAGGAAAACGCUCAAGGAAUCACGGUUCCACUGUAAUACCACGAUGGUCCUGAGGGGGACUUGCAUUUCAGCUAGAGGAAGACAGGUGGAAAAGUGCCACGAUGCAGACAAAAGGGAAUGAAAAUGGACACAGCCAGGCAAUGGAGUCGAGAGGUGGAGGAGUGAGGGAAAAAGCAGAGUGACAGGAGGUGCAGCAGAUGUUAAACGAACGAUGUGAAGACGCGGCAAAUAACAUCAGCGCGCCGUCUCUCUGGCUGUCAUACUGCCUUGUAUCUGUUUUUUUUUAUUUUGUGUUGUGUUUCCCCUUUUCUGCCUGUUAGACUUUGUCUGUUAGGUUUGUUUGCACUGCAGUCACCAUGUGCCAGGUUUGCGCAAAGCAGAGGACCGAGCUCAGCAUCUGUAUUCAGGUGCACUAAUGGAAUCACUGAGGCUAAAAUGGCAGGAGGUGAAAGGUGAGUGCACAGAGAACAGCAGACAGCUCAACACCACCACUGCUGCUGUCGCUCUGCCAAACCACUCGACUGUGAUGGCCUGGAAAGUGUGUGUGUGUGCUUGUGUGUUUGUGCUUGUGUGUUUGUGUGUAUGUGUAUGCAAGAGUAUGUGGGAGGCAAGGCCAAUUAGAGAGGUGCAGAUAAUGAAAAGUGUUGCGAUCAAUUUUUUUUGUUCACAUUCAUCUUUUCUUAGUUAUUCUCUGCUGUGGGUUUUUGAAAGAUUUAGCUUUUAGGAAUGUGUGCUGGGAGUAGCUCUGACAAAAUAUCUAUUGACUUUUAGAAGUAUGCUAGGCUUUUCUGUCUUUUCUCAAUACAGAGGCUUUACUGAAGGUGUGGUACAGUUUGGGCAGACAUGCUUAAGACCCUCAAACGAUAAGUUCAGAUUGUACAAUCAGUUAAAAUUCAUUUUCAUAAUUCCUCCUCUCCGUACUAGCCACAAGGAGACCUUUUCAAGAGCUGUAUGAAAUGAUUGGACACAAUGUUCAGACUUCUUUCUUCAUCGCAUAUUUGCAAAAUAGGUAUUUAAAUAUGAUCUACUGCUUUGUCUGCAUGUAUGUUUGCUGGCUAGCAAUAUUACUUCUCACUGCAUUGGUGCAUUAUUAUGUUUCCUCUCCCCUGCAAACUGUUGAUCAGCAGAAUAGCCUGAAGCCCUGCAGCAGCAGGAGGUAAAUCACGUGGCUGAUCUCUGACUCAUUUGGAGCUGCAACUAAUUACUGUGUUCAUUAACAACUGAUCUUGUGAUUAUAUUGUUGAUUCAUUGAUUAAUCAUUUAAUCUAUAAAAAUGUCAAAACAAA
Molecule: long non-coding RNA, 4213 nt
Organism: Scophthalmus maximus (turbot)
Lineage: Eukaryota; Metazoa; Chordata; Actinopteri; Pleuronectiformes; Scophthalmidae
Exons: 5
Source: RefSeq, a predicted model, not a curated record